This 574-nucleotide long non-coding RNA is filed under the name Linum usitatissimum (flax). RNAcentral's name for it is "long non-coding RNA (LUSI_LNC003911)". Lineage: Eukaryota; Viridiplantae; Streptophyta; Magnoliopsida; Malpighiales; Linaceae. The record is from RNAcentral.
AUGGUUUUGGGCCCCAAGAGACUCGGAAGAUCAUCAGUGAAGAUAGCCUUUUUGCAAGGUCAGAAAAGUUCAAUGCCCGAUCUGCAAGUUUGGAAAGUUAAUUGACCUCUCUGUGGUUUCUUUAUAGUUUAAGGAUCAAGUUGUAGUUUUUGGAAAUUGGAUGACUGAUCUAACAUAAGUAUAAUAUCCAGGGACUGGUUUUUGCCAAGCUGGGAAGUGAAAGGACGAUUCUGCCCCUGUAAGUUUCAGAUUGUUACAAAGGAGUAAUUUGAGGAUAACUCGAUAGUUUGAGCUCUAAAAGACGCACGGUCAAAGGCUACGGAUUUGUGGCAGCGAGAGGAAUAAUGUCAAGUCAGAAUAAGAUAUGUAAACUCUUCAUAAGAGAGGUGAGGUCUAGGAUUACUUUUCUACUUUAAGCGUAGAAUUGUAAUUAGGUGGUCAGGAAUCCAUUGAAUGAUUCUCAGAACUGUACAGUAGUGUGUGAUCUACUGUACAUGUGGUUUAUUUUAGAUCAGUACUCUUAGGUUGUAUAGUAGCGUGUGAUCUACUGUAUAAAUAGUUAUUUUAUUUCUAG